RNAcentral lists this non-coding RNA (132 nucleotides) under Bacillus massilioanorexius. RNAcentral describes it as "FMN riboswitch (RFN element)". It matches the Rfam family "FMN riboswitch aptamer (RFN element)". From Rfam's summary of the family: The RFN element is a highly conserved domain that is found frequently in the 5'-untranslated regions of prokaryotic mRNAs that encode for flavin mononucleotide (FMN) biosynthesis and transport proteins. This element is a metabolite-dependent riboswitch that directly binds FMN in the absence of proteins. Lineage: Bacteria; Bacillati; Bacillota; Bacilli; Caryophanales; Bacillaceae. The record is from RNAcentral.
UAUCUUCGGGGCAGGGUGAAAUUCCCGACCGGCGGUGAUGAAGAUGUUUUUCUAAGCCCGCGAGCUGUGAUUUUUGCAGCAGGAUUUGGUGUGAUUCCAAAGCCGACAGUACAGUCUGGAUGGGAGAAGGUG